AAGCCUUGUGAUGUCUAGCAUAUAAAAUUGCAAAUUUUAAAGAGCAGAGUUACUUCUGCCGGGGCUUC
RNAcentral lists this transfer RNA (68 nucleotides) under Tylototriton asperrimus (black knobby newt). RNAcentral's name for it is "tRNA-Cys". The record is from RNAcentral. Lineage: Eukaryota; Metazoa; Chordata; Amphibia; Caudata; Salamandridae.